Molecule: unclassified non-coding RNA, 330 nt
Filed under: Cohaesibacter marisflavi
Lineage: Bacteria; Pseudomonadati; Pseudomonadota; Alphaproteobacteria; Hyphomicrobiales; Cohaesibacteraceae
Description: Long range pseudoknot
Source: RNAcentral
ACGAUUAUGAAGUGAAAAUGCGCAAUGCCAAUCGCUUUAUCGAAGACGGUGACAAGGUUAAAUUCACCUUGCGUUUCCGUGGCCGUGAAAUGGCGCACCAAAGCCUCGGCAUGGAAUUGCUCCAGAAGGUCAAAGCCGAGAUGAUCGAACGCACCAAGGUAGAGCUGGAACCCAGACUCGAAGGGCGCCAGAUGAUCAUGAUUCUCGCUCCGAAAUAAGUAUUCUCUGGGCACAAUACUUUUUCGUCAAAAAACCCGGAUCCUAGGAUCCGGGUUUUUUAUUGGCCCGUACAAAUGGAGCCAUGUGAUUUGUGCCCUGUUUCAGGGAACA